AUGUAACCUACCUUGAUCAGGGGGAUAGCCUCUCGAAAGAGAGAUUAAGACCGCAUAACAUUAAGUUGUGGCAUCGCAAUUUAAUCAAAUAUUUAUAGGAUCAAGAUGGGCAUGCGGAACAUUAGCUAGUUGGUAAGGUAACGGCUUACCAAGGCUACGAUGUUUAGGGGAUCUGAGAGGAUGACCCCCCACACUGGUACUGAGACACGGACCAGACUCCUACGGGAGGCAGCAGUAAGGAAUAUUGGUCAAUGGACGGAAGUCUGAACCAGCCAUGCCGCGUGCAGGAAGACGGCCCUACGGGUUGUAAACUGCUUUUGUACCGGAAUAAACCUUGAUACGUGUAUCAAGCUGAAUGUACGGUAAGAAUAAGGAUCGGCUAACUCCGUGCCAGCAGCCGCGGUAAUACGGAGGAUCCAAGCGUUAUCCGGAUUUAUUGGGUUUAAAGGGUGCGUAGGCGGCUUUUUAAGUCAGGGGUGAAAGACGGUAGCUCAACUAUCGCAGUGCCCUUGAUACUGAAGAGCUUGAAUGUACUUGAGGUAGGCGGAAUGUGACAAGUAGCGGUGAAAUGCAUAGAUAUGUCACAGAACACCAAUUGCGAAGGCAGCUUACUAAAGUAUGAUUGACGCUGAGGCACGAAAGCGUGGGGAUCAAACAGGAUUAGAUACCCUGGUAGUCCACGCCCUAAACGAUGAACACUCGAUGUUGGCGAUAUACGGUCAGCGUCUAAGCGAAAGCGUUAAGUGUUCCACCUGGGGAGUACGCCCGCAAGGGUGAAACUCAAAGGAAUUGACGGGGGCCCGCACAAGCGGAGGAGCAUGUGGUUUAAUUCGAUGAUACGCGAGGAACCUUACCCGGGCUUGAAAGUUAGUGAAUAGAGCAGAGACGCUCUAGUUCUUCGGAACACGAAACUAGGUGCUGCAUGGCUGUCGUCAGCUCGUGCCGUGAGGUGUUGGGUUAAGUCCCGCAACGAGCGCAACCCCUAUGUUUAGUUGCCAGCAUUUAAGGUGGGGACUCUAAACAGACUGCCUAUGCAAAUAGAGAGGAAGGAGGGGACGACGUCAAGUCAUCAUGGCCCUUACGUCCGGGGCUACACACGUGCUACAAUGGGCAGUACAGAGGGCCGCUACCUGGCAACAGGAUGCCAAUCUCUUAAAGCUGUUCACAGUUCGGAUCGGGGUCUGCAACUCGACCCCGUGAAGUUGGAUUCGCUAGUAAUCGCGUAUCAGCAAUGACGCGGUGAAUACGUUCCCGGGCCUU
RNAcentral lists this ribosomal RNA (1260 nucleotides) under Mucilaginibacter polysacchareus. RNAcentral describes it as "bacterial SSU rRNA". It matches the Rfam family "Bacterial small subunit ribosomal RNA", at positions 119 to 1382 of the family's 1533-position model. The record is from RNAcentral. Lineage: Bacteria; Pseudomonadati; Bacteroidota; Sphingobacteriia; Sphingobacteriales; Sphingobacteriaceae.